GUGCCAGCAGCCGCGGUAAUACGUAGGUGGCAAGCGUUGUCCGGAUUUACUGGGCGUAAAGGGUGUGCAGGCGGUUUCUUAAGUGUGAUGUGAAAUCCCAGGGCUUAACUUGGGGGGUGCAUUUCAAACUGGGUGACUAGAGUGCAGAAGAGGAAAGUAGAAUUCCUAGUGUAGCGGUGAAAUGCGUAGAGAUUAGGAAGAAAACCAGUGGCGAAGGCGGCUUUCUGGACUGCAACUGACGCUGAGGCGUGAAAGCAUGGGGAGCAAACAGGAUUAGAUACCCUGGUAGUCCACGCCGUAAACGAUGAAUGCUAGGUGUAGGAGG
This 325-nucleotide ribosomal RNA is filed under the name uncultured bacterium. Its description in RNAcentral is "bacterial SSU rRNA". It matches the Rfam family "Bacterial small subunit ribosomal RNA", at positions 505 to 829 of the family's 1533-position model. The record is from RNAcentral.